Molecule: long non-coding RNA, 842 nt
Organism: Carassius gibelio (silver crucian carp)
Lineage: Eukaryota; Metazoa; Chordata; Actinopteri; Cypriniformes; Cyprinidae
Exons: 2
Source: RefSeq, a predicted model, not a curated record
UAUGACCAAAUUAUUGAGUUGUGAACUCCCUGGUCAAAACAUUCUAUCUUGCUUCAUGAAUUGAAACAACUGAUUCAUUGAAAAGAUCAGACUCAAAAGAAAAAAAAAAUAAUGAAUCGGACAUUGAUUCUUUCCUUAUGAACACAACAAGAAAAGCCAUGGCAAAUUUCAAGAUUUUCAAAAUUCACCUGUUGUGUGCCCAUGAAGAACACAGGUUAAAUAGCAUUUCUUUAACAGUCUCCAUGGCCUAUACAACACACCAGAUUCCAACCUCACACCCCUAAAGCCUGGAUCUGUAAUGGAUUUCAUAAUUAUCAGUAAGUCUGUUGAUGUAUGCUGACCACUGAUCUACAUCUAAAAAUAGCAGCACAGUCACUGAAUUGAACCGCAUCAGAAAUGUAAAAAAAAAAAAAAAAAGUUACAAUAGAAUCAUAUCUUCAUUACACAACAAUGUAAUAUCGUGAUUUGAAACAGUUGAUCUGUCAGUUUAUCUGAAAUGCAUGCUCAGUUAAUGCCUCAGUGUAAUUUUGCUUUAAUCAGUCCAAGUUCAGUAAAGCUUACUGGAUUAAACCAUUCCCAGAACUACACAUUAAAAGACUAAUAGAGUCCCUCAUUUGCCAUCUACUGUAUAUUGGCUUGAUUAUUUAUUCGGCGUGUUCUCACCAGCCCUCGGGACGAGCUCAGUAAAUCUGACAUCCACGUAUCGCUGCAGUACAGGUUUAUUCACUAAUAACAGAUGGAUUGUGCUUGACCUUCAGUCGACAUUAUUCUGGAGAGGGUUGUGUGUUCUCUGGCGUGUUUGCCUGAUGUUCGACAAUAAACCAGUCAGCUGAGACCGUAAA